GGGCUCGUAGCUCAGUUUGGUUAGAGCGUUCGACUGAUAAUCGAAAGGUCAUGAGUUCAAAUCUCAUCGGGCCCA
This 75-nucleotide transfer RNA is filed under the name Microcaldota archaeon. RNAcentral describes it as "tRNA-Ile". It matches the Rfam family "tRNA". From Rfam's summary of the family: Transfer RNA (tRNA) molecules are approximately 80 nucleotides in length. Their secondary structure includes four short double-helical elements and three loops (D, anti-codon, and T loops). Further hydrogen bonds mediate the characteristic L-shaped molecular structure. tRNAs have two regions of fundamental functional importance: the anti-codon, which is responsible for specific mRNA codon recognition, and the 3' end, to which the tRNAs corresponding amino acid is attached (by aminoacyl-tRNA synthetases). tRNAs cope with the degeneracy of the genetic code in two manners: having more than one tRNA (with a specific anti-codon) for a particular amino acid; and 'wobble' base-pairing, i.e. permitting non-standard base-pairing at the 3rd anti-codon position. Lineage: Archaea; Nanobdellati; Microcaldota. The record is from RNAcentral.